UACGGUACGGGCGGGUAACGGCCCACCUAGUCUUCGAUGGAUAGGGGUUCUGAGAGGAAGGUCCCCCACAUUGGAACUGAGACACGGUCCAAACUCCUACGGAAGGCAGCAG
RNAcentral lists this ribosomal RNA (112 nucleotides) under uncultured bacterium. RNAcentral's name for it is "partial 16S ribosomal RNA". It matches the Rfam family "Bacterial small subunit ribosomal RNA", at positions 241 to 354 of the family's 1533-position model. The record is from RNAcentral.